RNAcentral lists this small nucleolar RNA (105 nucleotides) under Phaseolus vulgaris (common bean). RNAcentral describes it as "snoRNA snoR99". It matches the Rfam family "Small nucleolar RNA snoR99". The record is from Rfam by way of RNAcentral. Lineage: Eukaryota; Viridiplantae; Streptophyta; Magnoliopsida; Fabales; Fabaceae.
GUUCUUUAGGGAUGUACGAGUCUCUAACAUUCACUUCAUCCAUCUGUUUCACUUUGUCAGCUCUAUUUUCUUGUGUUUUGCUGAUCAUUGUAGGAUGGAAUAUUU